CCUACGGGCGGCAGCAGUGGGGAAUAUUGGGCAAUGGGCGCAAGCCUGACCCAGCAACGCCGCGUGAAGGAAGAAGGCUCUCGGGUUGUAAACUUCUUUUAUCAGGGACGAAGCAAGUGACGGUACCUGAUGAAUAAGCCACGGCUAACUACGUGCCAGCAGCCGCGGUAAUACGUAGGUGGCAAGCGUUAUCCGGAUUUACUGGGUGUAAAGGGCGUGUAGGCGGGAAAGCAAGUCAGAUGUGAAAACCAUGGGCUCAACCUGUGGCCUGCAUUUGAAACUGUUUUUCUUGAGUACUGGAGAGGUAAGUGGAAUUCCUAGUGUAGCGGUGAAAUGCGUAGAUAUUAGGAGGAACACCAGUGGCGAAGGCGGCUUACUGGACAGUAACUGACGUUGAGGCUCGAAAGCGUGGGGAGCAAACAGGAUUAGAUACCCGUGUAGUC
RNAcentral lists this ribosomal RNA (443 nucleotides) under uncultured bacterium. Its description in RNAcentral is "partial 16S ribosomal RNA". It matches the Rfam family "Bacterial small subunit ribosomal RNA", at positions 338 to 795 of the family's 1533-position model. The record is from RNAcentral.